This 103-nucleotide ribosomal RNA is filed under the name Carlito syrichta (Philippine tarsier). The record is from RNAcentral. Lineage: Eukaryota; Metazoa; Chordata; Mammalia; Primates; Tarsiidae.
GUCUAUGGUCAUAUUACCCUGAAUACAUCCAAUUUCAUCUGAUCCUGAACACUAGGCAGGGUCGGGCCUGGUGAGGACCUUAGAUGGGCGAGAGCCUUUGACA